ACAAUCAGGCACCCUGUCGCGGACCGGGAAACCGGGAUGAGGAAAGUCCGGACAACGUAGAGCGCCACACCAUCUAACGGAUGGGCCCCGAACCUUCGGGGACAGAGAGUGUCACAGAAAAUAACCGCCCCGGGCAACCGGGGUAAGGGUGAAAACGUGCGGUAAGAGCGCACGGCGUUCCCGGGCAACCGGGAGGGCGGAUAAACCUUGUGGGUUGAAAUGCCAUGUACACCGACGCCGGCAAAAGGGGGUUUUCCCCUUUGCCAAAAGGUUGCUCGCCUGAGUCGGGGGGUAGGCAGAUUGACCCUGACCGUGAGGUCAGGGCCAGAUAAAUGACAGGGACCUUCCUUCGGGAACGGGACAGAAUCCGGCUUAUCGCCUGGUUGUAUUU
This 391-nucleotide RNase P RNA is filed under the name Bacteroidota bacterium. Its description in RNAcentral is "Bacteroidetes bacterium RNase P RNA component class A". It matches the Rfam family "Bacterial RNase P class A". From Rfam's summary of the family: Ribonuclease P (RNase P) is a ubiquitous endoribonuclease, found in archaea, bacteria and eukarya as well as chloroplasts and mitochondria. The record is from RNAcentral. Lineage: Bacteria; Pseudomonadati; Bacteroidota.